Corvus hawaiiensis (hawaiian crow) is the source of this 359-nucleotide long non-coding RNA. RefSeq lists it as uncharacterized. The record is from RefSeq and is a predicted model, not a curated record. The transcript is spliced from 2 exons. Lineage: Eukaryota; Metazoa; Chordata; Aves; Passeriformes; Corvidae.
CGGAGCAGCCGCUGCCGGCCCGGGCUGGGGCGGUAACACGGCAAUUUUACACGGCUCUCGCCAACUUGGACUAAGUGCGGGCUUAGGGGAGCCACCAGCUACCCCAAAGAGUCUGUGCAUGCUCCUGGGAAUAAAAACACCGGCAGAGACAUUCCAGGUGAGCUGGGACAGGUGGAUUUUACCUACCACCCCCAUCCACGCCCAAGAACCCCAUUAUAUCCUGCGUUCAGCCCAGCAUUUAUCAACAUGAAUCCUGCAUUCCCAGCACAUCACAAGCUACUCAAGGCAUCAUUUCGCCACAAAGAUCCCCCAGUCUGGAACAAAUUGGUAAAAUAAAGUGAGUUUUCAACACACACUAA